This 1826-nucleotide long non-coding RNA is filed under the name Anser brachyrhynchus (Pink-footed goose). RNAcentral's name for it is "lncRNA (ENSABRG00000001399.1)". Lineage: Eukaryota; Metazoa; Chordata; Aves; Anseriformes; Anatidae. The record is from RNAcentral.
UCAGGAGAGCCCCAGGGAUGGACAGACGGUGUGUCUGCAGGACUGGUGUUUAGUCAAGGGGUGGUACUUGGCUCGGCUGGCAGAGCUAUCUACCCCAGGAGACCAGGAGCAGGUGGUGGAGGUUGUUCGCAUGCUGACGGUGGACAAAGGCAUUGCGACAUCGCUCAGGAAGCCUUUGAGGAAAGAGGAACCCCAAGGCACCAAGAAACACAACCCCCCUCCCUCCCAUCUGAGCAGCUUCUCCUUUCUCAUGGGAAGUGCUGGGACCAGGGGAGGCUGCCUGAGCUGAACCUCCUGCCGUGUGGAUUUGCUGCUAGCUGUGGGCUCUGCACAAACCCAUGCUCCAGCUGGCAUGGGAAUUUGGAAUGUAUUUUCUUGAUGCUCAUGUGGAAAUUGGUUAUGCCCAUUUUUUAAAAUGCCACUUUUCUUUUCAAAACCCACAUUCUCCACGUGUUUGGGUUGCAGAGCUGAACCUCAGCCUCCUGAGCACACUGGACACCUGCCUUCCAGAGGAAGCAACACAUGGCUUCUUCAGCAAGAUUUUGGGGAGUUCAACCUGUCCCAUCCUGUCCACAAAGAGAAGUCUCUCUGGAAACGCCUGCUCAGACCUUCCUCCCUUCUGGACAAAGAUGAGAUAGCAUUAGAGACUGAAGAGCUGGAACAAGCAGAUCGUCAUGGAAAGAAGUUUGCUGUUGCUGCUGUUGGCCUCCAUCUUAAGGACAUCUUUGCCAGAGGGGCUGUAUUGAUCAAGCAGGAACAGAAGCUUUUGAAGACCAUUCAGGAAAGGAUCAUCUUAAAGUGACCUUUGUCCCUUCAAAAGCCUGAGGGAACUUGGCUUCAUCUUCCCCAUGUGCAUCAUCCUGUUGGGCCUUCCAGUUGGUUCACAGGUAACUGCACAGCUUGGCUGGGAGAUGGGAUAUGGGAGGGCUGGUUUCUGCUGUGCCGUGGUCCUAGCUUCACGCAGGACUGCUGGGGGAUGAGGGCUGUGAGUAGGUUUUGAUUCCUGAGGUCUGAGUCACUCUCCUUGAGCCGAGAAAGCAAACCCUUAAAGCCAUGCUCUGGGCUAACACCAAAUUCAAAGCACACCAACCUGUCCCCAGGUGGGCACUGUCUUUCUAGCCACUGGUGCUCAGGGGUGUCCAUACCUUCCUCCCUGCCUUUCAUAGCCCCUAUCCCCCCAAACAUUUUACUUUUAUGCCAGUGAGUACAAAGGGGAGACUCCUCCUAUGAGCCCCCAUGCACAGCGCAUGGGGUAGGCUCUCCUCCGGCGUCCUGGCUGUGCUGGGCACCAGGGAGCAUCCCUGAUGAGAGCAGACAGCUCCUCAGUCCUCUGGGUACAGUAGCUGCUUGUUGCUCGCGGAGAAUGAAAACAUAUUAAAGUAAGAAACUGCUGCACCAGUCAUUUUCCAAUUCCCCACUCAGAGAACUGGCUUCCCUGGAAAAUAGGUCACUUACAUAAAAAGCACCUUAUUAUCACACCAGAGUGGUGAAGGAAAGGGAUGGCUCGAGAGACACUUUCAUUUCGAGCCCCUGUUCCUGGGUACUUAGAUAUUUCUGGAAAAUUGACCCUUUGGGCUGAAAUUUCUCAUGCUCGUAUUCAGCCCAUAAGGUAAAUUUCAGGACCUCGUUUCCUCCACUGAGAUAGAUGAGGCUAGGAAAGAAAUUGUGUUGUAUCUUAACCCUUGGGAAGGUGGUGUGUGCACACCCAUGGUUUCCAUGGGGAUUGGGGUAAGCCAUAUCCCUGGGUGAAGACUCCCAUAGACAAGCAGCCUUGUGUCUCCCACCCUCCGUCCCUCCCCAGAAAUACGUUUGUUUUUCUCCUCUAA